UCCACAUUCUCUUUGUUCUUUCCCUUCCAGAAACUCUAGCAUCUAUGAGAAUUUUCUAUUCUAUUCUAUUCAACAAAUCUUUUCACCCCUUCCCUUUUCUUAUUUCUGUUUCUUUGUGCUGCAUCCUUGAUCAUUCUGAGCAACUGAACCAUCACUCCAGCUACUUCUGAUGGGGACAUGGAGGAGUGGGAGAAAUGAACAGAUAAGAAAGAAGGGAACACGGGACAGAAGAUAUCUUCUGUAGUCCUCUCCCAUGUUGACCCUGGCCUGAUCAUGUGACUUGCUUUGCCCAAUGGAGCAUUAGCAAGAGUGACACAGGCAGAGGCUGAAUUUGCACAUGCAUCUUGUUCUCCUGGAACUCACUCUUGGAAUCUGACCACCAUGCAAAGUAGCCCCAGCUAGUCGUGUGGAGAGACCACGUGGAAGCCCGCAGCCUUCCAGCCAUCCCCACUAAUGAAUGGGUCAUAUAGGUGAAUGAGGUGUCUUGGACAUUCCAGUCCCAUCCACCAUUGGCUUCAGCCACUCAAGAUACCUCAAGCAGGACCAGCAGAAGAUCCACCCAGCUGAGCCCUAAUCAGUGCCCAGAAUCAUAAAAAAAAUUCUGUUAUACCACAAUGUCGAAUCAAAGCCUUCCAUUAUUCUCUAGUGGACCCAAGAUCAAGAUCACAUUUCCUGGUGCCCUUCAUGAAAGUUCUCCAUAUCCAAUAACUUCUGCUUUUCUCCUACCAUCCUCCUGAGCUAAGGUACGGUUUCUGCUAAACCAUAGCACCUGAAUUUCUCACACAGUAAAUCAUGACCCUGAAGGGCCUCACUCCCUCCUUGACAUUUACGUGAUAACGAACCAGGAGUCCUAGGUUAAAAGAAUAUAAAAUAAUUUUUUUUUCAUUGCACCUGUGUGACAAAGGGUGUAUCUGUAGAUAGCACAGUGUGGAUACUGAGAAAUGAGGUUCAAAUUAAUAAAGACCAAAUUUAACAUCUAUGCAUACAAUACAGUGAUUAGAUAUAGAAUUUCUUGGCUCAUGCUAUAUCACAAACUAAGCUAAGUAUCGAAAGGCUGUUUUGCUAUGCGGAAGUCCUUGCUAUAAUGAAUUAAUAAGAAUGCUGUGCAAUCAACAUGUUAAUUGUAUGUAAAUGGUAUUUUUUAAAUGCUUUAAAACAAUUUAUUCCCCUGAGCAUUUUAAAUAGGCCCCCUGGAAAGUUA
This is a long non-coding RNA of Marmota monax (woodchuck), 1201 nucleotides long. RefSeq lists it as uncharacterized. The record is from RefSeq and is a predicted model, not a curated record. The transcript is spliced from 2 exons. NCBI's taxonomy places the organism in Eukaryota, Metazoa, Chordata, Mammalia, Rodentia, Sciuridae.